This 124-nucleotide ribosomal RNA is filed under the name Jingyaoa shaoxingensis. Its description in RNAcentral is "partial 23S ribosomal RNA". It matches the Rfam family "Bacterial large subunit ribosomal RNA", at positions 2803 to 2925 of the family's 2925-position model. Lineage: Bacteria; Bacillati; Bacillota; Clostridia; Lachnospirales; Lachnospiraceae. The record is from RNAcentral.
GAUGAGAUAUCUCAUGCGAAAGCAAUAAGACCCCUUGAAGACGACGAGGUAGAUAGGGCAGAGGUGGAAGUGCAGUAAUGUAUGGAGCUGACUGUCACUAAUAGGUCGAAGGCUUGACCUGAGU